RNAcentral lists this ribosomal RNA (253 nucleotides) under Clostridioides difficile. RNAcentral describes it as "partial 23S ribosomal RNA". It matches the Rfam family "Bacterial large subunit ribosomal RNA", at positions 1 to 253 of the family's 2925-position model. The record is from RNAcentral. Lineage: Bacteria; Bacillati; Bacillota; Clostridia; Peptostreptococcales; Peptostreptococcaceae.
UGGUCAAGUUAUUAAGGGUGCAGGGUGGAUGCCUUGGCACUAGGAGCCGAUGAAGGACGUGAUAAGCUGCGAUAAGCUUCGGGGAGUUGCACGUAAACUUUGAUCCGAAGAUUUCCGAAUGAGGAAACUCACUUAGAGUAAUGUCUAAGUAUCAUUAAGUGAAUACAUAGCUUAAUGAGGGGAACUCAGGGAACUGAAACAUCUAAGUACCUGAAGGAAGAGAAAGAAAUUCGAUUCCGUAAGUAGCGGCGAG